UGUGCAAGGGAAAUCAGCACAGGCUACGUCACUGGUUCUUUUAAAUAUAUAUAAAAAAUCAGAAUAUAUUAUAUAUAUACAUAUAUAUACAUAUACACACACACAUAUAUAUAUAUAUAUAUACAUGCUGCAGGAAGAACGGCCGAAAACAUGAAAGACACCAGUAUGGUCAGAUCAUGCUCUCUCUUUAUUACCAAAAUAGCCUGAUUCUCAUAGCAAACUUAACAGGCAGAUAGUGUCUCACACAACAUUAUUGGUCAAAAGUACUCAGACAAACAACUGCAAGAAAACAACCCCACCUGCAAGAAAACAACCCCCUUGUGAUUAGCAGCUGUGUAGGUCUUGUCCUUGAAGCCAGCUGCUGGCAACAAUAUUUUAAUUCCUCAAUCGGGCGAUAUGGGAACAUGGUCAUGGGAACGCCUCGUAGUUGCCCUGGUACCUUGGUUUGAAAAAUUGGGGACACCAACAGAGGAUCCAAAUGGAAUCAUUUAAUUGGAGCGGCUCUAGCAAAGCAAAGAAAAAGGAGACCUAAGGUAGGAUGUCUUUCUUUCUUUCCUUCUUUCCUUCUUUCCUCCCUUCUUUCUUCCUUCCUUCCUUCCUUUCUCUUUCUUUCUCUCUUUUCUUUUUUCUUUGUUUCCUACCUUUCUUCUUUCCUUCCUUCCUUCUAUUUUCCUUUCCUUUCCUUUCAUUAGUUUUUUUCAUGUAUGAAAAUAUUUCUCAGAUGAUACCAGGGGGACAAAAAAGGGGGACCUUCAGCUCCACCUAAAACACUACAGUCCACAAAGGAUGUAAAGCCACUGACAGCUGCGGUGUGACCACAAGGUCAAUUAAGACCCUGUGUAAGGGAAAUCAGCACAGGCUAGGUCACAGGUGCUUAUAAAUAUAUAUAAAAAAUCAGAAUAUACGUAUAUAUAAAUAUAUAUAUAUAUAUGUGAGUAUAUAUAUAUAUAUAUAUAUGAAUAUAUAAAAAUAGAAAAGGAGAAUUUACAAACUACAAUAAUGGUCAGUACCCAGGAAAGGGCACCUGCAAAAAGGCAGACCAGUGUGGGAUCUGUAAUCACAUAUUGCCAGCCGUACCCUGGGGUGCACCAAGCACGGCAUCGCUAGUCGGUCAAGGGAAGGAACUGUCCUGCCUGCCUGCCCUGCGCUGUGCGGCCUCACCUCCAGUGCUGUGAGCAGUUCUGGGCACCACAGCACAAGAAGGACACGAAACUGUUGGAGGGUGUCCAGAGGAGGGCGAUGAAGAUGGUGAAGGGCCUACAGGGGAAGAUGGCUGAGGGCACUGGGCCUGGUCAGCCUGGAGAAGGGGAGGCUGAGGGGGGACCUCAUCGCGGUCUGCAGCUUCCUCGUGAGGGGGAGUGGGGAGGCAGGUGACCUGUUCUGUGUAAACACCAGUUGUUAGCUGGAGGAAAAGGAAAGGCUCUCGAGCACCAUCACUGAUCUACAGGACAGGAGAUGAGCAGUCGGGAACUACGGGAAGCUCCCUUACAAAAGAGCUGCAAUCUAACCUAGAUGUAUUACAAAGAAUCCUUAAGACUCAAAAUCAUCCAGUAUCCACUUUGGCACUAGUUCAGUUUCUGGACUGGCCUAGGAGGAAUGUACCAGCUUUUCCAAUGACUGGUUCUUCGGAUGUCACCCCCCAGGUGGUGACAAAUCCACCCGUGCCGUUCUGCAGGAAGGCAGAUGGAUGCUUCUCGGUGAGUAUUAAAUAUUCCUUGUUACAUGACGAGUAUCUGCAGCAACCAGAGAAGGAGACACCUCAUGUU
RNAcentral lists this long non-coding RNA (1766 nucleotides) under Anas platyrhynchos platyrhynchos (common mallard). RNAcentral's name for it is "lncRNA (ENSAPLG00000017233.1)". The record is from RNAcentral. Lineage: Eukaryota; Metazoa; Chordata; Aves; Anseriformes; Anatidae.